CUUAGGAUUGAGUCAUAAUGGGAGCAUUCAGGGAUCCAUUGGUGGCAGUAAUUAAUCAUGCCGAGGAAGGUGAGCAACUCCUUCCGAGUAGUGGGUGUAGGAAUCCUCUGAAUGACCUCAAUACGUUUUGGACUCAAUUGUCUGGUGCCUAAAGCCAGAACAAAACCUAAGUAUUCAACCUUUGAUUUACACAAUUGCAUUUUGUGUUUAACAACCUUGUGACCUACAGUUGCUGACAGUAUCCACAGUGCUUGCCUCAUAGCUAGGGCUACAUAACAACAAAUCAUCAACAUUUUGCAAAAAGGACGGAACCAUGACCGGUGGUCCAUGUUUUUUAGAGUAUGUUGGAGUACCAACGAAUAAACAGCUGGGGAAUCCACAUAGCCUUGGGUAAGUGUGUCCAGGUAAACUGACAGCCUUCAAAAAAUAAAAACCAUAAGUAGCUGUGUCUCUUGAUCAAUAGGUAUAGAAAAAAUGCAUUACUUAAAUCAAUGACAGUGAAGCAAGUGGCAUCAUGUGGAAUGGCUGUAAUGAGGGAUGUCACAUCAGGGACAAUGGGUGAAAUGGGCACAAUUAAACUAUUCAGGGCUCUAAAGUCCUGUACUAAGCGAUAUGCUGGCCAGUGGUGUUGGGAGUGGGUCUGGUGUUGUUCUUGCCUACAGGGCAUAUUUUGAGAAUUGUGGGGUUGUUGGGGUGUGUGGGGUUUCCUGGGGUGUGGACACUCAUUCCUCCAGUGGCCAUAUUGGCCACAGUUGAAACAAGUGUUCCUGUCUAUUCCUCCUUGGUUACCCCUAUAACCCUGAUUUCCCUGUCUCCAUCCCCUUGCCCCUCUUUGACCACCCCUUCCACGGGCUUUAUGUGCUCCAUCCCAUCCUCGCUCUCAGCCUGUGUAGCUGGACAUAAUAUGUUGCAAUCCCUGAGCAUAAUAAGCAACCUUACUUUCCUAAAUCUUUUCUUAAUUCAAAACAACCUGCAUUUUCCUUUUCUAUAACCUUGGUAAGAAACUCUGAGCUAUCCAAAUUGGCCCAGUCUGAAAUCAAUUGUUUCACAAGCAAAGAAUACUGUGGCAACAUAUUACCAAGGCAUGACUGUAUUUUAAAGAUAUCUAUAUCAUCUCCAGACAUCAAACCUGCCUCAUCCUUCCAACACUUGUAAAAUUUCCUUACAAAAAUCAUAUUACCAAUCUCUUCCUUUGCAUCUUGCUUAUAUGCCAAAGCAGUGAAUAUAGACUGCUUAUUCUUCCAUAAUCCCAACAUUUCAGCUUCCACCUUGUUCCAAAUAUUAGCACAUCUUACUGAAGUACUAAGCUCAUAAUCACCAAUUCAUUUCAAACCAUAUAACUCAUACUCAGCAUCCAAUGUAAUAUUACACGUCAUCUCACAAAGCAAUAUCUUUGUAGAAACACAUAAUGGGUACCCAGCAGAUAUGCCAAUACAGAAAUCACAUUUAUGGGCACACAACUACACACUCUGUCUCCCUCCUAGGAAACACGGAUAGACACAAUAUAAAAGCAAUCUUA
Non-coding RNA from Pelobates cultripes (western spadefoot toad), 1519 nucleotides. The record is from the annotation of a GenBank genome assembly. NCBI's taxonomy places the organism in Eukaryota, Metazoa, Chordata, Amphibia, Anura, Pelobatidae.